RNAcentral lists this ribosomal RNA (436 nucleotides) under uncultured bacterium. RNAcentral describes it as "partial 16S ribosomal RNA". It matches the Rfam family "Bacterial small subunit ribosomal RNA", at positions 341 to 792 of the family's 1533-position model. The record is from RNAcentral.
ACGGAAGGCAGCAGUGGGGAAUAUUGCACAAUGGGCGCAAGCCUGAUGCAGCAACGCCGCGUGAGGGAAGACGGUUUUCGGAUUGUAAACCUCUGUUCUUGGUGACGAAGAAGUGACGGUAGCCAAGGAGAAAGCCACGGCUAACUACGUGCCAGCAGCCGCGGUAAUACGUAGGUGGCAAGCGUUGUCCGGAAUUACUGGGUGUAAAGGGAGCGCAGGCGGGACAGCAAGUUGGAUGUGAAAUACCGAGGCUUAACCACGGAGCUGCAUCCAAAACUGUUGUUCUUGAGUGAAGUAGAGGUAGGCGGAAUUCCGAGUGUAGCGGUGAAAUGCGUAGAUAUUCGGAGGAACACCAGUGGCGAAGGCGGCCUACUGGGCUUUAACUGACGCUGAGGCUCGGAAGUGUGGGGAGCAAACAGGAUUAGAUACCCUGGUA